GCUGCUAUAGUGUAGGGGCCAAUCAUGUCGGCCUUUCACGCCGACGACAGGGGUUCGAAUCCCCUUAGCAGCA
Non-coding RNA from Methanoculleus marisnigri, 73 nucleotides. The record is from Rfam. NCBI's taxonomy places the organism in Archaea, Methanobacteriati, Methanobacteriota, Methanomicrobia, Methanomicrobiales, Methanomicrobiaceae.